Molecule: ribosomal RNA, 484 nt
Filed under: uncultured bacterium
Lineage: Bacteria
Description: partial 16S ribosomal RNA
Rfam family: Bacterial small subunit ribosomal RNA
Source: RNAcentral
AUUGAACGCUGGCGGCAGGCCUAACACAUGCAAGUCGAGCGGAUGAAGGGAGCUUGCUCCUGGAUUCAGCGGCGGACGGGUGAGUAAUGCCUAGGAAUCUGCCUGGUAGUGGGGGAUAACGUCCGGAAACGGGCGCUAAUACCGCAUACGUCCUGAGGGAGAAAGUGGGGGUUCUUCGGACCUCACGCUAUCAGAUGAGCCUAGGUCGGAUUAGCUAGUUGGUGGGGUAAAGGCCCACCAAGGCGACGAUCCGUAACUGGUCUGAGAGGAUGAUCAGUCACACUGGAACUGAGACACGGUCCAGACUCCUACGGGAGGCAGCAGUGGGGAAUAUUGGACAAUGGGCGAAAGCCUGAUCCAGCCAUGCCGCGUGUGUGAAGAAGGUCUUCGGAUUGUAAAGCACUUUAAGUUGGGAGGAAGGGCAGUAAGUUAAUACCUUGCUGUUUUGACGUUACCAACAGAAUAAGCACCGGCUAACUUCGUG